RNAcentral lists this long non-coding RNA (1866 nucleotides) under Homo sapiens (human). RNAcentral describes it as "HSALNT0354642". Lineage: Eukaryota; Metazoa; Chordata; Mammalia; Primates; Hominidae. The record is from RNAcentral.
GCACUAGCAGCCCUUGAUGACCAACCUGAGACAAUGAGCCCAGAACUGCUUUGAAUACACCAAUUGCUGUGGGGCGGCUCGAGGAAGAGAAGACACCAGUGCCUCAGAAACUGCUCGGUCAGACGGUGAUAGCGAGCCACGCAUUCACAGGGCCACUGCUGCUCACAGAAGCAGUGAGGAUGAUGCCAGGAUGAUGUCUGCCUCGCGCCUGGCUGGGACUCUGAUCCCAGCCAUGGCCUUCCUCUCCUGCGUGAGACCAGAAAGCUGGGAGCCCUGCGUGGAGACUUGGCCCUAAACCACACAGAAGAGCUGGCAUGAAACCCAGAGCUUUCAGACUCCGGAGCCUCAGCCCUUCACCCCGAUUCCAUUGCUUCUUGCUAAAUGCUGCCGUUUUAUCACGGAGGUGGUUCCUAAUAUUACUUAUCAAUGCAUGGAGCUGAAUUUCUACAAAAUCCCCGACAACCUCCCCUUCUCAACCAAGAACCUGGACCUGAGCUUUAAUCCCCUGAGGCAUUUAGGCAGCUAUAGCUUCUUCAGUUUCCCAGAACUGCAGGUGCUGGAUUUAUCCAGAUGCCACUGCUACUCCUUCACUUGCUCAUUCUGCAAAAGUUUGUAGAUCUUCUGCAAGGAGAACGGCAUUGUUAACUACCUACAGGAAGUGGUAAGCCAGAUAUGACCCUUGUACUUAUACAUCUUCCAUUCUAGUGAAUCUUGUUGGGAUAUUAUGUUGACUUAUUUCUGUUCCUUAGUGAUCAACUCCUCCCAAUUUCAUACAGUAUUACUUUACAUACAGUUUUAAAUCCUUCAGUCUCAGGUGUCCUUUGCCUCUCCAACCUUAUCUUCUUCACAAUCUAUUGCGCUUUCUGCGAUCAAUCUUGACAUAUAACACUCAAUGCCAAAUCAAAUUUCUGUUUUUUUAAAGCCAAGAACAUGUUAUGCUUUUUUGAUACUCAUGGAAUUACUGUAUUAUCUAUCUGGAAUGUUCUGCUCAAUUCAUUUUUGCCACUAUCAGAAGUGAUUACAAUGGUAAUAGCUCUAUUCUGAGGGAUUUCUCUCUGAGAAGCACAAUGCUAAGUACUAUAUAUGGGCAUACUUAUAUACACCCACACAUAAUUUCAUCUCAUGUAAUUCUUAAUAGACCAUUUUAUUUAUGAGAACAUGUAAAAUUCAGGAAAAUGGGAAAUUAAUUAACUUACCCAAGGUCAUGCAGAUAGCCAGUGACAGAAUAUCAUUCCAAACCCUAUUUGACUCCAAAGUCCAUGUGUUUAACUGCUCUGCUCUAUAACAAGUGGGCUUGUAUCAUCGUUCAAGGCUUAAUCCAAGGACACUUCAUUUCUGAAAUCUUUUUUGACUUGCCUAGGCAAAGACAGCAGUGUUUUUCCUUUACAUUUACCUUACAUAUAUUUCUAUGGUGGUGUAUUUUGCAUGUAUCUUAUAUAAACAUCUUCACUAGUUAUUUGUACAGAAGUCUGUAUCUGCUGUUGGCUUGCUUCAGGUUACUGAUUCAGAGCUAUUCUUCCCCACAUUCCCUGGGCCUAGCACAGUAACCAGCCAAUGAUGGGUUUCCAAUAAGUGAAUGAUGAAUGAAUGACCUGGCUGAAGCAGCACUUCCUGUUUGGAGCAGAGUGCCAAUAAGGGAGAGCAAAGGGAAAUAAGUGGGAGAGGUGGGUGGCAGCCGUUGAUGAAGGCUCUGCCCACCAGGUCAUCAUGCAUGAAUUUGACCUGAUUUGAGAAAAACCUGAUCAAAAAUUGCUUGCAAUAGUGGAGGCAAAACACAAACACAAAAACAAAAACUCUGCUCAGUUCAGUUUACAUUUUUCAUCCAGUUGUUUUGGCAUUGCACUGACACUUGAGCUAUAGGUCGGA